AUCGUCAUCCUCCGUGUGACCCUGCCAGAUUCCACGAUUUGGGGAUUCCCUAUGAGGAGCCGGCGCGUCGUCCUCAUCGCAGGCGGGCGGGUGUUGGCAUGUGCGCGUAUGGAGGAGCUCCACCUCACCCACUUCAGCUUCCUCCUGUCGUCAUCAUCGUCCUCCGCGCGACCACGCCAGCUUCCAUGGUUUGGGGGAGCCUUCCCUAUGAGGAUCCAGCGUGUCGUCCUCGUUGCACCCUAAUUAGGUUCCUGGUGUGUCCGCACCGCCGCACCCUAAUUUGAUUUCGACUGGAGUCUAGGACGUCAGCGCCACCAGUUUACCAAUCAGGUCAUUAGCACUGCCGUCCAGGUGAUAAUAAACGCCGUUCACCACAAAAAGAGGUGAGAGGCAGAUUCCAGAUAAGGGAGCAAACUGCGUAGCAAGAUCAAUAAUGAAUGGUUCAAGUCAUGUGUUACAAGUUACAAUGAGCAGGUGGUACUCAAGUCCGUUGAUGAUAAGGAUAUUAUUCGAACAUUUACUGCAAUGAGGUCUCGGAAAGGGCAUUUGCCUCGUGAUUGUCUUUAGUGCGCUGUCGGUAUUCGGUAUGUUCCAUCUGACCAUCUCUAUUCUUGCAAGCUUUUGAUUUGUAAUAUAUUCAAAUAAUUUGUAUUUAAAAAUUAUGGGUUAGUAGAUCCGUUUUAAUUUGCAUUUCUAUUCUUGCAAGUAUUCGGUAUUUGCAUUCUUUUGUCCACGCUUUAAUUCCUAGAUCCCGUUUGUUUCGGCAGCAUUGUUACUUUGUUGUUUCUUCUGCUACAAGGCCCAUGGUUAUAGUAAACCUUCUUAUUUUAAGCAUCCUAUCAAACCUACUUAAACAAACGUGUGCCUUUUUGCCCACAUCUUCAUGCUAUUCAUCUGCAUGUUGCCUUGCAUAUAUAUAUUUGGUCAAAAAGCAUACGGUUUCACCACAACAGGUAACACACAGGCCAUAUGUGUCCUCUGCUUAUGGAUCUGUACUUGUGUUUCGUAUAUGCUAACCAUACUUUCUGUUGCUCUCGCCAAACUCUCGUGUUAACUGUUGAGUGAUGGGAUCAGUUCAUGACCUAACUAAAACCUCUGAUCCAACACCUCAUCACACUUUUGGUCAGACAUGCAUAUUAGGCCAACGGCACAUUUUAGUGAAUGAAAACUAUGAGAUGAGAAUAAAUAGGCGCUCUGUUUGGUUCAGAUAUUUUCAUACAUAAUUUGAUGUACUUCUCAUGGAUAUCUUCUUACACGUGAGCUUAUUUUGAAGAUGAUAAUAAGU
Triticum urartu is the source of this 1285-nucleotide non-coding RNA. NCBI's taxonomy places the organism in Eukaryota, Viridiplantae, Streptophyta, Magnoliopsida, Poales, Poaceae. The record is from RefSeq and is a predicted model, not a curated record.